UACGGAGGGUGCAAGCGUUAUCCGGAUUCACUGGGUUUAAAGGGUGCGUAGGUGGACAAGUAAGUCAGUGGUGAAAUCUCUGGGCUUAACCCGGAAACUGCCAUUGAUACUAUUUGUCUUGAAUAUCGUGGAGGUGAGCGGAAUAUGUCAUGUAGCGGUGAAAUGCUUAGAUAUGACAUAGAACACCGAUUGCGAAGGCAGCUUGCUACACGAAUAUUGACACUGAGGCACGAAAGCGUGGGGAUCAAACAGG
Molecule: ribosomal RNA, 253 nt
Filed under: uncultured prokaryote
Description: partial 16S ribosomal RNA
Rfam family: Bacterial small subunit ribosomal RNA
Source: RNAcentral